CCAAGAGCCUCCCUGUAAUGCGCGUGUUCCUCAAUCGCACAGGGGCCGUUGUUUGUGAAUUGAAAGGCGGGGAUCCAACCUGGAGUGAUCCACAGUGGGAAAUAGAUGAUGCCAAAGACAAGCUGAUGUUGCAGGCUGAAACUUUUGUAGAUGAGCACGGCGCAUUCAUACGGUCCUCCAUCCUCUCUUUGAAAGACGGGAUCCGUGCUUUGAACUGUGUAUGUACGCACAUCACUGGAGUCAUUAUUCGAACUCGGGUCAUGCAAGAUAAUGCUUUUUCAGUGCAAGGAUCAGUGCCAGCUUCAGGCAAGGAUCAGUGCCAGCUGCUGCGGUACCUAUUUCCCCUGGCUGUGGUGCUGCUGCUGGUGACUGUGACAGCCAGUGGGCUGUGGGCCUGGAGACGGAGGAAGUAGAGCCCUAUAGCACAGGGAAUGGACAGCACAUACGGGAUCUGAUCGGGAUUUGUAACUCAGGGGUUGUAGGUUUCAUUCCCCAAUGAGACUCUACCACUGUACUUUGGCACAAUGUGCCUGCACUGUUUCAGUACACAUCCAGCUGUAAAAAUGGAUUGAGUGUUCAAAGAAAGUAAUUUGUUCUGACAAGAGCAUCUGUUGAAUGUCUAAAAUCCAAUAGGACUUGAAGGAGCAUUUCUUUAUUUUCUUUACUUUGUAGAUGUCACAGCAGUAUUUGCAGAUUAAAAACAUUUUUGGCCCA
This is a long non-coding RNA of Anguilla anguilla (European eel), 714 nucleotides long. RefSeq lists it as uncharacterized. The transcript has 3 exons. Lineage: Eukaryota; Metazoa; Chordata; Actinopteri; Anguilliformes; Anguillidae. The record is from RefSeq and is a predicted model, not a curated record.